CCCUGGCUCAGGACGAACGCGGGCGGCGUGCCUAAUACAUGCAAGUCGAGCGGAUCUUGUUAGAAGCUUGCUUCUAACUUGGUUAGCGGCGGACGGGUGAGUAACACGUAGGUAACCUGCCUGUAAGAUCGGGAUAACUAUCGGAAACGGUAGCUAAGACCGAAUAAUUGAUUCUGGUGCAUGCCGGAAUCAUGAAACGCGGAGCAAUCUGUGGCUUAUAGAUGGGCCUGCGGCGCAUUAGCUAGUAGGUGAGGUAACGGCUCACCUAGGCGACGAUGCGUAGCCGACCUGAGAGGGUGAACGGCCACACUGGGACUGAGACACGGCCCAGACUCCUACGGGAGGCAGCAGUAGGGAAUCUUCCGCAAUGGACGCAAGUCUGACGGAGCAACGCCGCGUGAGUGAUGAAGGUUUUCGGAUCGUAAAGCUCUGUUGCCAAAGACGAACAGCUAGGAGAGUAACUGAUCUUAGCCUGACGGUAUUUGAGAAGAAAGCACCGGCUAACU
This 506-nucleotide ribosomal RNA is filed under the name Paenibacillaceae bacterium CL2.129. RNAcentral's name for it is "bacterial SSU rRNA". It matches the Rfam family "Bacterial small subunit ribosomal RNA", at positions 17 to 502 of the family's 1533-position model. Lineage: Bacteria; Bacillati; Bacillota; Bacilli; Caryophanales; Paenibacillaceae. The record is from RNAcentral.